RNAcentral lists this ribosomal RNA (301 nucleotides) under uncultured bacterium. RNAcentral describes it as "partial 16S ribosomal RNA". It matches the Rfam family "Bacterial small subunit ribosomal RNA", at positions 509 to 807 of the family's 1533-position model. The record is from RNAcentral.
CAGCCGCCGCGGUAAUACGUAGGGUGCGAGCGUUAAUCGGAAUUACUGGGCGUAAAGCGUGCGCAGGCGGUUGUGUAAGACAGGUGUGAAAUCCCCGGGCUUAACCUGGGAACUGCGCUUGUGACUGCACAGCUAGAGUAUGGCAGAGGGGGGUGGAAUUCCACGUGUAGCAGUGAAAUGCGUAGAGGUGUGGAGGAACACCGAUGGCGAAGGCAGCCCCCUGGGCCAAUACUGACGCUCAUGCACGAAAGCGUGGGGAGCAAACAGGAUUAGAUACCCGUGUAGUCCCUGUCUCUUAUAC